This is a long non-coding RNA of Monopterus albus (swamp eel), 924 nucleotides long. RefSeq lists it as uncharacterized. NCBI's taxonomy places the organism in Eukaryota, Metazoa, Chordata, Actinopteri, Synbranchiformes, Synbranchidae. The record is from RefSeq and is a predicted model, not a curated record. The transcript has 2 exons.
GCAGGUACGCCAUCACAGUCUGGUAUUUUGACUCUGAGGAGAGAGCUGAGGCCAAGAGACGCGUCAGGGACCUGACAGAGUCCACCCAGCAGCAGGGCAGCAGCUCCAGCUGAGGAGAUGUCGCCACCUGGUGUUUGUCACCCUGAGCUGCAGCGAGGAUGGCAGGAUUCCUUCUGGUUCUCCAAGUUUCUGGAAAAGCUUAAGAAGAAAAGAGAAACUUUUGAACUCCAGAACUUUCACUCUGGACCAGUUUGGGGAGGGGUUUGCUCUUCAGAUAAUGAACUGUCAUUCCCUCAUCACUGCAGCUCCUGAACCCUGACUGAUGCGUUCAGGUGACCUGCAGUGACUGGGGAAUUUUCCUCUUUUCCAUGAUUGUGUGAUUCUCUCUGUGCUGAUUCCUACUGAGAGCCCUGCUGACGACUGCACCUCUGUGCUCCGCUGUAGAGGAGGAGAAACAGACAAGAUGCCUCCAGCCCCGUGUGUCAGUCACUCUGUAACCUGUACAACAAGAUGAGUUGUGUGUUUAACUGGAGCCGUUUGCCAGUGACUGACGCCUAAAGAGCCACCAGCUGAUGUGGAAGCCGAAGGCUUUAACAGCAUCAAGAACAGUGAACGGGUGUAAAUUUGCAGUUAUUUGAGACGACAUCAGGUGGAUGGCGUUCACAAUCCAACUGCAAUAGUUAAGUACAGUUUGACUUGUACUUUUUACUGUUACUUUACAAAUCAGGAUUAUUUCAGGCAGAACAAGUCUAAUACCUAUGAAGCUUGAUAGAGAUUCAGCUAAACAGCUGGAGCCGAAUGGAUGAGCCUACACAAAACUUCACAACUACCGCGUGUUGAUACUGCACCUCCUGGAAUGUGAUGGUUUGUGGCUUUUUCUUGUAAUUACUUUGAUAGUUCUGAAUAUACUGUUAAUAAAUUUCA